This 88-nucleotide ribosomal RNA is filed under the name Perknaster fuscus. Its description in RNAcentral is "partial 28S ribosomal RNA". It matches the Rfam family "Eukaryotic large subunit ribosomal RNA", at positions 646 to 731 of the family's 3401-position model. Lineage: Eukaryota; Metazoa; Echinodermata; Asteroidea; Valvatida; Ganeriidae. The record is from RNAcentral.
GACCCGUCUUGAAACACGGACCAAGGAGUUUAACAUGUACGCGAGUCAUGGGGUUCUACGAAACCUAAAGGCGCAGUGAAAGUAAAGG